GGGGGUAUAGCUCAGUUGGUUAGAGCGUUUGCAUGACACGCAAAAGGUCGCAGAUUCGACUUCUGCUACUCCCACCA
Molecule: transfer RNA, 77 nt
Filed under: Opitutales bacterium
Lineage: Bacteria; Pseudomonadati; Verrucomicrobiota; Opitutia; Opitutales
Also listed under: 3 other names
Description: tRNA-Val
Rfam family: tRNA
About the family: Transfer RNA (tRNA) molecules are approximately 80 nucleotides in length. Their secondary structure includes four short double-helical elements and three loops (D, anti-codon, and T loops).
Source: RNAcentral